This is an RNA transcript of Mandrillus leucophaeus (drill), 378 nucleotides long. It is a transcript of the gene named transmembrane protein 258 pseudogene, with no coding region annotated. The record is from RefSeq and is a predicted model, not a curated record. The transcript has a single exon. NCBI's taxonomy places the organism in Eukaryota, Metazoa, Chordata, Mammalia, Primates, Cercopithecidae.
GCGGAUUAGCCUGUACGGGGCAAAAUGGAGCUCGAGGCCAUGAGCAGAUACACCAGCCCAGUGAACCUGGCUGUCCUCCCCCAUCUGACUGUGGUGCUUUUGGCCAUCGGCAUGUUCUUCACCGCCUGGUUCUUCAUUUACGAGGUCACCUCUACCAAGUACACUCGUGAUAUCUAAAAGAGCUCCUCAUCUCUUUGGUGGCCUCACUCUUCAUGGGCUUUGGAGUCCUCUUCCUGCUGCUCUGGGUUGGCAUCUACGUGUGAGCGCCCAAGGGUAACAACCAGAUGGCUUCACUGAACCCCUGCUUUUGUAAUUUACUUUUUUUUACUGUUGCUGGAAGUGUCCCACCUGCUGCUCAUAAUAAAGGCAGAUGUAUGG